CUUUAGGAUCAAACAGAGCAUACUGAAUCAGCAGGACUGGCUGGUGGUGCAGCAGACAUCAUGAGUAAGCACCGAGAAGUCUGUUCCUUAUCACGUGUGUAAGGGGAAAAAGGUUUAAACAAGUCUCUUAAGUGGUGUUUCCUCACCGAUGGAGAAUUACUUCCAAGCAGAAGCUUACAACCUGGACAAGGUGUUAGAUGAAUUUGAACAAAACGAAGG
This 219-nucleotide long non-coding RNA is filed under the name Pan troglodytes (chimpanzee). RNAcentral's name for it is "long non-coding RNA NONPTRT000259". The record is from RNAcentral. Lineage: Eukaryota; Metazoa; Chordata; Mammalia; Primates; Hominidae.